AACGCAGCGAAGGGCGAUAAGUAAUGUGAAUUGCAGAAUUCAGUGAAUCAUCGAAUCUUUGAACGCACAUUGCGCCCGCCAGUAUUCUGGCGGGCAUGCCUGUUCGAGCGUCAUUUCAACCAUCAAGCCCCCGGCUUGUGUUGGGGGACCUGCGGCUGCCGCAGGCCCUGAAAACCAGUGGCGGGCUCGCUAGUCACUCCGAGCGUAGUAAUACAUCUCGCUCAGGGCGUGCUGCGGGUUCCGGCCGUUAAAAGCCUUAUUUACCCAAGGUUGACCUCGGAUCAGGUAGGAAGACCCGCUGGACUUAA
RNAcentral lists this ribosomal RNA (308 nucleotides) under uncultured fungus. RNAcentral describes it as "eukaryotic LSU rRNA". The stretch from base 1 to 113 matches the Rfam family "5.8S ribosomal RNA", at positions 42 to 154 of the family's 154-position model. Lineage: Eukaryota; Fungi. The record is from RNAcentral.